AUUGAACGCUGGCGGAAUGCUUUACACAUGCAAGUCGAACGGUAGAGGGGGCAACCCUCGAGAGUGGCGAACGGGUGAGUAAUAUAUCGGAACGUGCCCAGUCGUGGGGGAUAACGUAGCGAAAGUUACGCUAAUACCGCAUACGAUCUAAGGAUGAAAGCGGGGGACCGUAAGGCCUCGCGCGAUUGGAGCGGCCGAUGUCAGAUUAGGUAGUUGGUGGGGUAAAGGCUCACCAAGCCGACGAUCUGUAGCUGGUCUGAGAGGACGACCAGCCACACUGGGACUGAGACACGGCCCAGACUCCUACGGGAGGCAGCAGUGGGGAAUUUUGGACAAUGGGCGCAAGCCUGAUCCAGCAAUGCCGCGUGCAGGAAGAAGGCCUUCGGGUUGUAAACUGCUUUUGUACGGAACGAAACGGCUCUGGUUAAUACCUGGGGCUAAUGACGGUACCGUAAGAAUAAGCACCGGCUAACUACGUG
This 479-nucleotide ribosomal RNA is filed under the name uncultured bacterium. RNAcentral's name for it is "bacterial SSU rRNA". It matches the Rfam family "Bacterial small subunit ribosomal RNA", at positions 30 to 507 of the family's 1533-position model. The record is from RNAcentral.